AUGGGAAUGCUCAGGAUGCACAGCUACCCCAGCACUCACCUGAGUGCCCUGCACAGGUAUGUGGACCGAGUGACUGAAUUCCUCCAGCAAAAGCUGAAGCAGUCCCAGUUGCUGGCUUUGAAGAAAGAGCUGAUGGUGCAGAAGCAGCAGGAGGCACUUGAGGAGCAGGCAGCUCUGGAGCCUAAGCUGGACCUGCUGCUGGAGAAGACCAAGGAGCUGCAGAAGCUGAUUGAAGCUGACAUCUCCAAGAGGUACAGCGGGCGCCCUGUGAACCUGAUGGGAACCUCUCUGUGACACCCUCCGUGUUCUUGCCUGCCCAUCUUCUCCGCUUUUGGGAUGAAGAUGAUAGCCAGGGCUGUUGUUUUGGGGCCCUUCAAGGCAAAAGACCAGGCCGACUGGAAGACGGAAAGCCACAGGAAGGAAGCAGCACCUGAUGGUGAUCUUGGCACUCUCCAUGUUCUCUACAAGAAGCUGUGGUGAUUGGCCCUGUGGCCUGUCAGGUGAAAACCACAGCUUCUUCUAAUUAGUAUAGCAGACUUCAUAAAAGAGGAAAAAACUCUUGC
Molecule: small RNA, 563 nt
Filed under: Pongo abelii (Sumatran orangutan)
Lineage: Eukaryota; Metazoa; Chordata; Mammalia; Primates; Hominidae
Description: retained intron
Source: RNAcentral